CCCUUAGAUGUCCUGGGCUGCACGCGCGCUACACUGAUGUGUCCAGUAAGCACCUAACCUCUUCCGAAAGGAACGGGUAACCUUUGCAAAGCACAUCGUGAUGGGGAUAGAUUAUUGCAAUUAUUAGUCUUGAACGAGGAAUUCCUAGUAAGCAUAAGUCAUCAGCUUGUGCUGAUUACGUCCCUGCCCUUUGUACACACCGCCCGUCGCUCCUACCGAUUUUGAGUGAUCCGGUGAACCUUUUGGACUGCGGUGUCUUCAUGGCACUCGUGGGAAGUUAAGUAAACCUUAUCACUUAGAGGAAGGAGAAGUCGUAACA
This 319-nucleotide ribosomal RNA is filed under the name uncultured eukaryote. RNAcentral's name for it is "partial 18S ribosomal RNA". It matches the Rfam family "Eukaryotic small subunit ribosomal RNA", at positions 1470 to 1796 of the family's 1831-position model. The record is from RNAcentral.